Molecule: ribosomal RNA, 914 nt
Filed under: uncultured archaeon
Lineage: Archaea
Description: bacterial SSU rRNA
Rfam family: Archaeal small subunit ribosomal RNA
Source: RNAcentral
CAAAGGGGGGUGGGAUAGAAUGCAGUUGUGCGUCUCUAAGCCAUGGUAGAGACGCGGCAUACGGCUCAGUAACACGUGGCUAACCUACCCUUAGGACGGGGACAACCCCGGGAAACUGGGGUUAAUAUCCGAUAGGUGAGGAGGCCUGGAAUGGUUCCUAGUCGAAAAGGCGUUGAAACCAUGCUUUUCGACGUCGCCUAAGGAUGGGGCCGCGCCCGAUCAGGUUGUUGGUGGGGCAACGGCUCACCAAGCCUAUAACCGGUACGGGCCGUGAGAGCGGGAGCCCGGAGAUGGGCACUGAGACAAGGGCCCAGGCCCUACGGGGCGCAGCAGUCGCGAAAACUCCGCAAUGCGCGAAAGCGUGACGGGGCUACCCCGAGUGCCGUCCGCUGAGGAUGGCUUUUCCCCGGUGUAAUGAGCCGGGGGAAUAAGGAGAGGGCAAGACUGGUGUCAGCCGCCGCGGUAAUACCAGCUCUCCGAGUGGUAGGGAUGAUUAUUGGGCUUAAAGCGUCCGUAGCCGGCUUAGCAAGUUUCCUGUUAAACUCAGCGACUCAAUCGUUGGAUCGCGGGAAAUACUACUAGGCUAGGAGGCGGGAGAGGUCAACGGUACUUCUGGGGUAGGGGUGAAAUCCUAUAAUCCCGGGAGGACCACCAGUGGCGAAGGCUGUUGACUAGAACGCGCUCGACGGUGAGGGACGAAAGCUGGGGGAGCGAACCGGAUUAGAUACCCGGGUAGUCCCAGCUGUAAACGAUGCGAGCUAGGUGUUGGGAUGGCUACGGGCCAUUGCAGUGCCGCAGGGAAGCCAUUAAGCUCGCCGCCUGGGGAGUACGGCCGCAAGGCUGAAACUUAAAGGAAUUGGCGGGGGAGCACCACAAGGCGUGAAGCUUGCGGUUCAAUUGGAUUCAACGCCGGG